AUGGUCAAUGAUUGCUGCACCAGAGUUAUGAGAGGUUCUUCUCUAUUAGAUGGACAGAUUUAUAUACUUUCCCAUGGAAGAUUAAAUGAAGAGAUGGACAUUUUAGCAAAACUAAAUGAAAACCUUGUAAAAUUUUCAGAUUAUGUUUCUACAUUUAAACAUCUACUGGGGGAGGUAGUGGGCAAUUCUAUGCAGUCAAACCUGGAAUUGCUGACACGUAUUAAGAGUGUGCACCACAGGUAUUGAAACCUGAAAUACUCUGAACUCUUUUCAUAUAGAUUAACAAAAUAUAAAAUAUGUCGUCCUCCUCUAUAUUCUGGCUUAGACAGAACUAUUGAGCCACCGCACCUGUCCUUGGUUUUAGAUCUUGACACAGCACAUCCUCAACUUAUUGUCUCCGAGGAUAGAAAAAGCUGUGUAAUGGAAGAACAAAACCAGACGUUUAUUACAACCCAAGGAGAUUUUAUUUCUGCCCUGCUGUCCUGGGCUCUCAGAAGUGUAGUUCUGGCAGACAUUACUGGAAGGAGAAGUGGGAAACGAUCCUAAAUGAAAAUUGGGUGUGUGUCAAGACGGUCUUCUUAGGACCUGGCAGGAUCAACCUUCAGUUCUGGGUUGAUUUGGGGGCAAUUGGAUGAUAUAUAGAGUGGUUAUGCUGCAUCAGGUCCUAAAAAAGCCCACUUCUGUCAGUAGUAAAAUCCAAUAAGAUUGGUAUUCUUUUGGACUAUGAAUUUGGUGAUUUUUUAAAGUAAUGUAAGUGAUAGGUUUGUUCUGUAUAUUUUAAUGAUUCUUUCACAAGAGCUGUUUGGCCUUAUUUCUAUACUGAAGCAGAUUCUGAACAUCUUAAAAUCUGUUCAUUAUCAGAUACUGAAAGAUAAAGAACAAGUAAAUGAAUCUGUUUCAGUUUUUUGGGUAAUUUAACCAGUAAAUUUAAUCUUAUUUCUUUAAUCUUUAAGUUUUACUGCUGAAGGCCAGAAUAGAUUUUUUUCUCCUAAAUUUUUGGCAAGUAUAAAGCACGUUCAGAAUGUCACUUUCAUAGAUACUAUGAAUAUCAAUUGUCAAGUGUGUUGAUUUCUAAGAUAAAAUAUUUGAGAAUUAAUAUUACCUAACUUGUCCAAUAAAAUGUUAAGUUGCCUACUUUGAAAAAAUCUGUCAAUUUUGAAUUGCAUACCUAGCUAAAUUUUUUUAAGAUUGAGGGUGAGAUGUAAAAUAAUUUAUACAAGUAAUAUAAACUGUUUACUUAAAUUAUUUACUUAAAGAAAUCUAAUUACAUUUAAAUAAAUUGCUGUUACCUGUUA
Molecule: RNA transcript, 1295 nt
Organism: Mandrillus leucophaeus (drill)
Lineage: Eukaryota; Metazoa; Chordata; Mammalia; Primates; Cercopithecidae
Gene name: tripartite motif-containing protein 60-like
Exons: 4
Source: RefSeq, a predicted model, not a curated record